CAGUUAUAGUUUACUUGAUAAUCUUUACUUACAUGGAUAACCGUGGUAAUUCUAGAGCUAAUACAUGCGAAAAAACUCGACUUUAUGGAAGGGUUGUAUUUAUUAGAUAAAGAACCAAUAUAAUUGGUGACUCAUAAUAACUUUACGGAUCACAUUAAAUGUGACAUAUCAUUCAAGUUUCUGACCUAUCAGCUUUAGACGGUAGGGUAUUGG
RNAcentral lists this ribosomal RNA (213 nucleotides) under Cryptosporidium parvum. Its description in RNAcentral is "partial 18S ribosomal RNA". It matches the Rfam family "Eukaryotic small subunit ribosomal RNA", at positions 107 to 339 of the family's 1831-position model. The record is from RNAcentral. Lineage: Eukaryota; Apicomplexa; Conoidasida; Eucoccidiorida; Cryptosporidiidae.